CAUUCAGUAGCCCAGCUACUUGUUUACACCCUUGUUUUUUUGCGUACUUAUCGUUUCCUCGGCGGGCUUGCCUGCCGGUUGGACAACUUUAUAACCUUUUUUAAAUCUUCAAUCAGCGUCUGAAUCUGUUAAUAUACAAUAAUUA
RNAcentral lists this unclassified non-coding RNA (145 nucleotides) under soil metagenome. Its description in RNAcentral is "partial internal transcribed spacer 1". The record is from RNAcentral.